GAUGAACGCUGGCGGCGUGCCUAAUACAUGCAAGUCGAGCGAACGGACGAGAAGCUUGCUUCUCUGAUGUUAGCGGCGGACGGGUGAGUAACACGUGGAUAACCUACCUAUAAGACUGGGAUAACUUCGGGAAACCGGAGCUAAUACCGGAUGAUAUUUUGAACCGCAUGGUUCAAAAGUGAAAGACGGUCUUGCUGUCACUUAUAGAUGGAUCCGCGCUGCAUUAACUAGUUGGUAAGGUAACGGCUUACCAAGGCAACGAUGCAUAGCCGACCUGAGAGGGUGAUCGGCCACACUGGAACUGAGACACGGUCCAGACUCCUACGGGAGGCAGCAGUAGGGAAUCUUCCGCAAUGGGCGAAAGCCUGACGGAGCAACGCCGCGUGAGUGAUGAAGGUCUUCGGAUUGUAAAACUCUGUUAUUAGGGAAGAACAUAUGUGUAAGUAACUGUGCACAUCUUGACGGUACCUAAUCAGAAAGCCACGGCUAACUACGUG
Molecule: ribosomal RNA, 497 nt
Filed under: uncultured bacterium
Lineage: Bacteria
Description: partial 16S ribosomal RNA
Rfam family: Bacterial small subunit ribosomal RNA
Source: RNAcentral